RNAcentral lists this transfer RNA (74 nucleotides) under Candidatus Thorarchaeota archaeon. RNAcentral's name for it is "tRNA-Pro". The record is from RNAcentral. Lineage: Archaea; Promethearchaeati; Candidatus Thorarchaeota.
GGGUCGGUAGUCUAGCUUGGCUAUGAUUCUUGGUUCGGGACCAAGAGGCCGCCGGUUCGCAGGAGCUGGCUCCC